This 72-nucleotide transfer RNA is filed under the name Triticum aestivum (bread wheat). It matches the Rfam family "tRNA". Rfam says of the family: Transfer RNA (tRNA) molecules are approximately 80 nucleotides in length. Their secondary structure includes four short double-helical elements and three loops (D, anti-codon, and T loops). Lineage: Eukaryota; Viridiplantae; Streptophyta; Magnoliopsida; Poales; Poaceae. The record is from Rfam by way of RNAcentral.
GCAUCCAUGGCUGAAUGGUUAAAGCGCCCAACUCAUAAUUGGUAAAUUUGUUGCGUGAAAUUUUUGUAUGCA